AGAGUUUGAUCCUGGCUCAGAUUGAACGCUGGCGGCAGGCCUAACACAUGCAAGUCGAACGGUAACAUUUCUAGCUUGCUAGAAGAUGACGAGUGGCGGACGGGUGAGUAAUGCUUGGGAACUUGCCUUUGCGAGGGGGAUAACAGUUGGAAACGACUGCUAAUACCGCAUAAUGUCUUCGGACCAAACGGGGCUUAGGCUCCGGCGCAAAGAGAGGCCCAAGUGAGAUUAGCUAGUUGGUAAGGUAACGGCUUACCAAGGCGACGAUCUCUAGCUGUUCUGAGAGGAAGAUCAGCCACACUGGGACUGAGACACGGCCCAGACUCCUACGGGAGGCAGCAGUGGGGAAUAUUGCACAAUGGGGGGAACCCUGAUGCAGCCAUGCCGCGUGUGUGAAGAAGGCCUUCGGGUUGUAAAGCACUUUCAGUUGUGAGGAAAAGUUAGUAGUUAAUGCCUGCUAGCCGUGACGUUAACAACAGAAGAAGCACCGGCUAACUCCGUGCCAGCAGCCGCGGUAAUACGGAGGGUGCGAGCGUCAAUCGGAAUUACUGGGCGUAAAGCGCACGCAGGCGGUUUGUUAAGCUAGAUGUGAAAGCCCCGGGCUCAACCUGGGAUGGUCAUUUAGAACUGGCAGACUAGAGUCUUGGAGAGGGGAGUGGAAUUCCAGGUGUAGCGGUGAAAUG
RNAcentral lists this ribosomal RNA (683 nucleotides) under uncultured marine microorganism. RNAcentral's name for it is "bacterial SSU rRNA". It matches the Rfam family "Bacterial small subunit ribosomal RNA", at positions 8 to 688 of the family's 1533-position model. The record is from RNAcentral.